This 253-nucleotide ribosomal RNA is filed under the name uncultured bacterium. RNAcentral describes it as "partial 16S ribosomal RNA". It matches the Rfam family "Bacterial small subunit ribosomal RNA", at positions 524 to 776 of the family's 1533-position model. The record is from RNAcentral.
UACAGAGGGGGCAAGCGUUGUUCGGAAUUACUGGGCGUAAAGGGCGCGUAGGCGGCUUUGUAAGUUAGAGGUGAAAGCCCGGAGCUCAACUCCGGAACUGCCUUUAAGACUGCAUCGCUAGAACGAUGGAGAGGUGAGUGGAAUUCCGAGUGUAGAGGUGAAAUUCGUAGAUAUUCGGAAGAACACCAGUGGCGAAGGCGACUCACUGGACAUCUGUUGACGCUGAGGUGCGAAAGCGUGGGGAGCAAACAGG